RNAcentral lists this ribosomal RNA (275 nucleotides) under uncultured bacterium. RNAcentral's name for it is "partial 16S ribosomal RNA". It matches the Rfam family "Bacterial small subunit ribosomal RNA", at positions 79 to 353 of the family's 1533-position model. The record is from RNAcentral.
CUAAGUUUGAUGGCGACCGGCGCACGGGUGAGUAACACGUAUCCAACCUGCCGAUGACUCGGGGAUAGCCUUUCGAAAGAAAGAUUAAUACCCGAUGGCAUAGUUCUUCCGCAUGGUGGAACUAUUAAAGAAUUUCGGUCAUCGAUGGGGAUGCGUUCCAUUAGGUUGUUGGCGGGGUAACGGCCCACCAAGCCUUCGAUGGAUAGGGGUUCUGAGGGGAAGGUCCCCCACAUUGGAACUGAGACACGGUCCAAACUCCUACGGGAGGCAGCAUG